AGUGAACGCUGGCGGUAGGCCUAACACAUGCAAGUCGAACGGCAGCACAGUAAGAGCUUGCUCUUACGGGUGGCGAGUGGCGGACGGGUGAGGAAUACAUCGGAAUCUACUUUUUCGUGGGGGAUAACGUAGGGAAACUUACGCUAAUACCGCAUACGACCUACGGGUGAAAGCAGGGGAUCUUCGGACCUUGCGCGAUUGAAUGAGCCGAUGUCGGAUUAGCUAGUUGGCGGGGUAAAGGCCCACCAAGGCGACGAUCCGUAGCUGGUCUGAGAGGAUGAUCAGCCACACUGGAACUGAGACACGGUCCAGACUCCUACGGGAGGCAGCAGUGGGGAAUAUUGGACAAUGGGCGCAAGCCUGAUCCAACCAUACCGCGUGGGCGAAGAAGGCCUUCGGGUUGUAAAGCCCUUUUGUUGGGAAAGAAAAGCAGCAGGUUAAUACCCCGCUGUCCUGACGGUACCCAAAGAAUAAGCACCGGCUAACUUCGUG
RNAcentral lists this ribosomal RNA (492 nucleotides) under uncultured bacterium. Its description in RNAcentral is "partial 16S ribosomal RNA". It matches the Rfam family "Bacterial small subunit ribosomal RNA", at positions 29 to 507 of the family's 1533-position model. The record is from RNAcentral.